CCAGAAGGAACGGAAUCACCACCCUCUUGAUGAUUCCGCGCUCUGUAAAAGCAGAUCAUGACAGGGUGGCCAACAAGAAUGUAAAUGAGGGAAAACUUCCUGUGACACACCUCGUCACUACGACAAUUUUUCUACGAGUCUUCAAGGAGAAUGGGUCUGGCAUUACUGAUUCGACGUCGACAGCAACCGAGUUGUCUUAUAAUCACAACAUUGACACUGCUGUCGGUUUCAACACUGACGACAUGCACUUUAGAAUAUACGACACAAGACGUUUCACACAACAAACACAGGACUGACCGUACUGCUAACAACAGCCAGGAGGCUGCUGUUACGAAUUACGAGUUUGAGGCCAAAGACACUUCUAUGUCCAGAAAUGUCACUGAUUAUUCUGUUGACAUAUCGA
Non-coding RNA from Zootermopsis nevadensis, 403 nucleotides. Lineage: Eukaryota; Metazoa; Arthropoda; Insecta; Blattodea; Termopsidae. The record is from RefSeq and is a predicted model, not a curated record.